AGAAUCAACGCUGGCGGCGUGCCUAACACAUGCAAGUCGAACGAGAAAGUGGAGCAAUCCAUGAGUAAAGUGGCGCACGGGUGAGUAACACGUGACUAACCUACCCUUGAGUGGGGAAUAACUUCGGGAAACCGAGGCUAAUACCGCAUAACACCUACGGGUCAAAGGAGCAAUUCGCUUAAGGAGGGGUCGCGGCAGAUUAGUUAGUUGGCGGGGUAAUGGCCCACCAAGACGGUGAUCUGUAUCCGGCCUGAGAGGGCGCACGGACACACUGGAACUGAAACACGGUCCAGACUCCUACGGGAGGCAGCAGUGGGGAAUUUUGCGCAAUGGGGGAAACCCUGACGCAGCAACGCCGCGUGGAGGAUGAAGUCCCUUGGGACGUAAACUCCUUUCGAUCGGGACGAUUAUGACGGUACCGGAAGAAGAAGCCCCGGCUAACUUCGCGCCAGCAGCCGC
Molecule: ribosomal RNA, 459 nt
Filed under: uncultured bacterium
Lineage: Bacteria
Description: SSU rRNA
Rfam family: Bacterial small subunit ribosomal RNA
Source: RNAcentral